RNAcentral lists this ribosomal RNA (441 nucleotides) under uncultured bacterium. RNAcentral's name for it is "bacterial SSU rRNA". It matches the Rfam family "Bacterial small subunit ribosomal RNA", at positions 30 to 471 of the family's 1533-position model. The record is from RNAcentral.
AUUGAACGCUGGCGGAAUGCUUUACACAUGCAAGUCGAGCGGCAGCGCGGGGGCAACCCUGGCGGCGAGCGGCGAACGGGUGAGUAAUGUAUCGGAACGUACCCAGUCGUGGGGGAUAACUAUCCGAAAGGAUAGCUAAUACCGCAUACGACCUGAGGGUGAAAGCGGGGGACCGUAAGGCCUCGCGCGAUUGGAGCGGCCGAUAUCGGAUUAGCUAGUUGGUGAGGUAAAGGCUCACCAAGGCGACGAUCCGUAGCUGGUCUGAGAGGACGACCAGCCACACUGGAACUGAGACACGGUCCAGACUCCUACGGGAGGCAGCAGUGGGGAAUUUUGGACAAUGGGCGCAAGCCUGAUCCAGCCAUUCCGCGUGAGUGAAGAAGGCCUUCGGUUGUAAGAUCUUCGUCAAGGAAAGAAAACGUAAAUACUCCUAAUACGAGU